GGGGGGAAGAAACCAAUGUAAAUAUAUCUGUUUAAUAUUUACAAGAAACGGUGUGGGAAAUAGACACGUUUUGCAGGAAGAGGUAUGUGCGAACGGGUUCGUACAACAACGAAUUAAAAUGGUGUAGCCUUGGAGUUUUCUUUCUUUUUUUUUUCUUUUUCCUUUUUUCCUUAGGUCGAUUUUGUAUUUGUUUAUUGUACAUGUGUUUAUUUUGUCUAUUAACAACAUGCUUUAAUU
This 237-nucleotide long non-coding RNA is filed under the name Mytilus galloprovincialis (Mediterranean mussel). Lineage: Eukaryota; Metazoa; Mollusca; Bivalvia; Mytilida; Mytilidae. The record is from RNAcentral.